Molecule: unclassified non-coding RNA, 395 nt
Filed under: soil metagenome
Description: partial contains 5.8S ribosomal RNA, internal transcribed spacer 2, and large subunit ribosomal RNA
Rfam family: 5.8S ribosomal RNA (bases 1-122)
Source: RNAcentral
GAUGAAGAACGUAGCGAAAUGCGAUAAGUAAUGUGAAUUGCAGAAUCCCGUGAACCAUCGAGUCUUUGAACGCAAGUUGCGCCCGAAGCCAUCAGGUUGAGGGCACGUCUGCCUGGGCGUCACAUAUCGUUGCCCAAUGCCUAUUGCAGUGCAAUAGGAAUUUCUAGGGCGAAUGAUGGCUUCCCGUGAGCGUUGUUGCCUCGCGGUUGGUUGAAAAUCGAGUCCUUGGUAGGGUGUGCCAUGGUAGAUGGUGGUCGAGUUAGAACGAUACCGAUCAUGUGCAUGCUCCCCAAAAUAUGGCCUCUAUGACCCACACGCGUCUUUUGACGCUCAUGACGAGACCUCAGGUCAGGCGGGGCUACCCGCUGAAUUUAAGCAUAUCAAUAAGCGGAGGA